AUUCCAUUGUCCUCCCUGGGCUGUGGAAACCCUGCUCCCUCUGCUUUAUAACAAGGACUUUCAGUACGUGAUCUCCUUUACCCGGUCAAGAAUCCUGGCAGGCAGGCAGAACAAGGAAGUGCUGCUGAGGAAAAACCAGAGGUCUUCCAUGACAAUCAAUCCGUUGGAAAGUACUUGGCAAACAGAAGCAGUGGCAGCCUCAGCCUCGGAGGCAUCCCGUACGUCCUGGCCAGCCCAGUUUACGCCAUGGAACAGAGGGAAAAUCCACCGAGGUUGCGAUCCAAAAGGUUGCUUUCUAGAAGGCAUCAAAAGACCAGCAAGGGUACAAAAAUCAGCGCAGAAGGGAAAUGCUCAGAUUGUAAGUUCUUUGAAAGCAGACUCUGUCUUAUCUCUUUUUGUAGCCCCAGUGCUUAGCACAGUGCCUGGCACACAGUAGGCACUUUAAUAAGUCCAUCUUCCUUCUUUCCCUCUUCCAUUCACAGAUUCAGCUUCUCCAAGUUCCUAACACUUCCUCACAAUCACAAAACAUGCUUAUUCACAUGUUUUCUCUUUGUCUUCCACUCUCUUAAAUGACUCUUCUCUACAGACAUUCAGUGGUCCUGAUCAGAGUCUAAGCUCUUGGUCUACAUUCUUUUCUUCAUCACAUGUAGGGACAAAUUAAUAUGAU
Molecule: long non-coding RNA, 667 nt
Filed under: Phascolarctos cinereus (koala)
Lineage: Eukaryota; Metazoa; Chordata; Mammalia; Diprotodontia; Phascolarctidae
Description: lncRNA (ENSPCIG00000016786.2)
Source: RNAcentral